UGGGACAGUCGGCCUAGGAAAAAAAACACAAAAAGGACAGCAAGUUAGACGUUUCAGUAAAACCAAAAAAGUACAGCGAGCAGUGUGUGCCUAAAGCAGAGCUUUUGGAUUUUUACAGAUCAUCAAGAUCUCCUGUCAAAAGAAUGCAGACAUCUCUUUGGCUGGUAUCUCCAACACUGUGCAACUCACACCAAAACAAUCUACAUUGAUAAACAGCACUACAGGUUGGGCCUGCAGCUCCACCAGCAGUCGCUCCCUCACCUUACUCCUCAGUACGAUGGCGUCCCUCUGGCUAACAUCCAGCGCUAACACAGCAUCCCGGGCUCCAACGUACAGCAUGUCUCCAUCCUCG
Epinephelus moara (kelp grouper) is the source of this 352-nucleotide long non-coding RNA. RefSeq lists it as uncharacterized. The record is from RefSeq and is a predicted model, not a curated record. The transcript is spliced from 3 exons. Lineage: Eukaryota; Metazoa; Chordata; Actinopteri; Perciformes; Serranidae.